RNAcentral lists this ribosomal RNA (253 nucleotides) under uncultured bacterium. Its description in RNAcentral is "partial 16S ribosomal RNA". It matches the Rfam family "Bacterial small subunit ribosomal RNA", at positions 524 to 776 of the family's 1533-position model. The record is from RNAcentral.
UACGUAGGUGGCAAGCGUUGUCCGGAUUUACUGGGCGUAAAGAGCGCGCAGGCGGUCGUUCAAGUCGCGUGUGAAAGCCCCCGGCUCAACUGGGGAGGGUCACGCGAUACUGAUCGACUCGAAGGCAGGAGAGGGAAGUGGAAUUCCCGGUGUAGUGGUGAAAUGCGUAGAUAUCGGGAGGAACACCAAUGGCGAAGGCAGCCUUCUGGGCCAACACUGACGCUCAUGCACGAAAGCGUGGGGAGCAAACAGG